Molecule: long non-coding RNA, 429 nt
Organism: Phodopus roborovskii (desert hamster)
Lineage: Eukaryota; Metazoa; Chordata; Mammalia; Rodentia; Cricetidae
Exons: 4
Source: RefSeq, a predicted model, not a curated record
CCUUGGGGUUGCGGCAAGCUCCGCACUUCCUUUCCACGCCGCGCCUGGGACUGCGAGCUGCGCGUGCAGCAUGGCUGGCGGCGGAGGCCGGGGGCUGCGGAGCCGGCGCGUCCGCGGGCUCUGCCAGGUGCAGCAAAACCUCUCUCUUGAAGGUGCCUGAAGAAAUGUUUUCCGAACACUUGUCACUGAAUGUGAUUUCAACUAGCCUCCAGGACUACAGGUGCCAGUAGCAUGGCACGAUAUUAAGCAUGCAGGUAACUGCAGAUGAAUGUGGAACUUCAGUAGCUGUGAUGUUUACAAACACGGCAUUGGGUGCAGCACCCAUUUUGGAUGUAAAAUGAAGAAUAGGUCAAGAAACCGUGAACAGAAGCAAAAGACGAGAAUUAGUAUUUUAUUUGAUAUUAAUAAAUACAUUAUGUAGAAUUUUAA